Molecule: ribosomal RNA, 460 nt
Filed under: uncultured bacterium
Lineage: Bacteria
Description: partial 16S ribosomal RNA
Rfam family: Bacterial small subunit ribosomal RNA
Source: RNAcentral
CCUACGGGGUGCAGCAGUCGAGAAUCAUUCACAAUGGGGGAAACCCUGAUGGUGCGACGUCGCGUGAGGGAUGAAGGUUCUAUGGAUCGUAAACCUCUUUUAUAAGGGAAUAAAGUGUGGGACGUGUCCUAUUUUGUAUGUACCUUAUGAAUAAGGAUCGGCUAACUCCGUGCCAGCAGCCGCGGUAAUACGGAGGAUCCGAGCGUUAUCCGGAUUUAUUGGGUUUAAAGGGUGCGUAGGCGGCCUUUUAAGUCAGCGGUGAAAGUCUGUGGCUCAACCAUAGAAUUGCCGUUGAAACUGGGGGGCUUGAGUAUGUUUGAGGCAGGCGGAAUGCGUGGUGUAGCGGUGAAAUGCUUAGAUAUCACGCAGAACCCCGAUUGCGAAGGCAGCCUGCCAAGCCAUGACUGACGCUGAUGCACGAAAGCGUGGGGAUCAAACAGGAUUAGAUACCCCUGUAGUC